Rhineura floridana is the source of this 301-nucleotide long non-coding RNA. RefSeq lists it as uncharacterized. The transcript has 3 exons. NCBI's taxonomy places the organism in Eukaryota, Metazoa, Chordata, Lepidosauria, Squamata, Rhineuridae. The record is from RefSeq and is a predicted model, not a curated record.
AGGAGGUGUCGACUCUGAUGUCCACGGCCAGAAUUUUCUCCACUUCUCAUGCGAUACAUCAUCUGCAUGAGCAACAGCCUUCACACUUAGAUCACCCGAGUCCAAGCCUGACAUGUGCAUUAAAUUAACAGAUCUCCCUGCAUCCCCAUCACCUCACCGAUUGUCGGGGGCGCUUCCUUAGAAGACACCCCCUGCAAAACCCAUUGGGCCCGUCUCUCCUCCUCAUCGAUCUCAGCAACCGCUUCCGUUCUCCUUUUGGGAACUGCUUCAAUCGGGACCCGAGCUUCGGACUGGAUUCUCG